RNAcentral lists this transfer RNA (59 nucleotides) under Sorghum bicolor (sorghum). The record is from Rfam by way of RNAcentral. Lineage: Eukaryota; Viridiplantae; Streptophyta; Magnoliopsida; Poales; Poaceae.
AUGGCUCAGUGGUGGAGUUCUUGCUUUGUGACCUAGAAGACCAGGGUUUGAUUCCCUGU